GACGAACGCUGGCGGCGUGCCUAAUACAUGCAAGUUGAGCGCUGAAGGUUGGUACUUGUACCAACUGGAUGAGCAGCGAACGGGUGAGUAACGCGUGGGGAAUCUGCCUUUGAGCGGGGGACAACAUUUGGAAACGAAUGCUAAUACCGCAUAAAAACUUUAAACACAAGUUUUAAGUUUGGAAGAUGCAAUUGCAUCACUCAAAGAUGAUCCCGCGUUGUAUUAGCUAGUUGGUGAGGUAAAGGCUCACCAAGGCGAUGAUACAUAGCCGACCUGAGAGGGUGAUCGGCCACAUUGGGACUGAGACACGGCCCAAACUCCUACGGGAGGCAGCAGUAGGGAAUCUUCGGCAAUGGACGAAAGUCUGACCGAGCAACGCCGCGUGAGUGAAGAAGGUUGUCGGAUCGUAAAACUCUGUUGGUAGAGAAGAACGUUGGUGAGAGUGGAAAGCUCAUCAAGUGACGGUAACUACCCAGAAAGGGACGGCUAACUACGUG
RNAcentral lists this ribosomal RNA (497 nucleotides) under uncultured bacterium. RNAcentral describes it as "partial 16S ribosomal RNA". It matches the Rfam family "Bacterial small subunit ribosomal RNA", at positions 28 to 507 of the family's 1533-position model. The record is from RNAcentral.